Long non-coding RNA from Dermochelys coriacea (leatherback sea turtle), 777 nucleotides. RefSeq lists it as uncharacterized. NCBI's taxonomy places the organism in Eukaryota, Metazoa, Chordata, Testudines, Dermochelyidae. The transcript has 4 exons. The record is from RefSeq and is a predicted model, not a curated record.
GUUCUGUGAUCUUUAAUCCUCUCAGAAAUCUUAGGACCUAAGAACAUAAUUUUCAUAGACCCCUAAAUGCAGCCUUGAUUGGCAAUUAGGGAGAUAAUAAUUAACCAAAGAGAUCUUUAGGAAGACUCAUGUUUAGUCCCAAGUGUUUAUAUUUUCAAGGCAAAUUUUUAAAAAUAAAGUCCUGGAAACUCAAAUAUGAAAGCUGAGAAUCACUUUUAUUGUUUGGGACAUAGAAGUUCAUGGAAACCCAUUGUCAGAGGCUUCACAGACCUCCAAGGUCAUAAAUAACUCAGGAGGAUCACCAUGAUGAUAAAGCAGAUUGCUUUUUAAAGGAUAAAGUUAGGAUAAAAUCAUAUUUACAUUUCCUAGGAGGAUAUGCACUCAUGUUCAUCCCUUAAGUAAAACUGCUGAUGGUGCUGGAAAUUAUCUAGUGAAAUGAGGCCACUAACAUCUGCAUAGUCCUUGAUUUCAACUUGCAAUAGAACUAUCUUGCAAAGUGACAAAGAAGAGAUGGAUACACCAUUAAAAUAAAGUUUAGUUUAAUUUUAAAGAGAAUUAGAUAUUACCAAUAAGCAAAAGAAUAAAAACACUGCUGAUUAUGGCUAGUAUUAUUAAUUUGUCACUUAGGUAGUAUCAACAGUGCUAGUAACUCUGUGCUGUUUGGACUUCCUGAGGUGUGAAAGGUCAGCUGGGCAAAGAACCAACAUCCACAGACCUAAACAAGGGUUGCACUGGACUGAAUUGACAAGCUGGUCCUCUUCUCUGGUGACUGUAUUC